AAAGAGUUAGAAUUUACUAAAUCUAGUAUUUUAAAAUCUUCUCCUAUAGCUGAUAUUUGUUCUUCUCUAUAAUGUCUAUAUAGCUGAUUAUCUGUAGAAAAAUAUCCUGCAUUAUAUAAUGUUUUAGGAUUUAAUAAUUUUAAUUGAUGUUGUUGGAAAAUUUGUAAAUCUUUAUCUACAUCUAUUAUUUCAUUAAGUUCUUGGUUUUGCUCCAUAUUAGGUUGUCUUCGGCAUAUUCUGGAUAAUAUAUUAUUAUUUCCUAUUUUAUUCUCCGAAAAACUUAUUCUUUGUUUUUCUUCUCCUUGUCUUUCAUUGUUUUCG
RNAcentral lists this long non-coding RNA (321 nucleotides) under Capsicum annuum. Its description in RNAcentral is "long non-coding RNA (CANN_LNC013181)". The record is from RNAcentral. Lineage: Eukaryota; Viridiplantae; Streptophyta; Magnoliopsida; Solanales; Solanaceae.